RNAcentral lists this unclassified non-coding RNA (402 nucleotides) under Melitaea cinxia (Glanville fritillary). RNAcentral's name for it is "misc RNA ENSMCXG00005003134.1". Lineage: Eukaryota; Metazoa; Arthropoda; Insecta; Lepidoptera; Nymphalidae. The record is from RNAcentral.
AUGUUAUCGUUACAGUGAUAAAUAAUGAAUGAAUGUGGAAUGUGUCCUUGGGAUCGCCCCACUAUGCUUCGGAGAACACGUAAAGCCAUCGAUACCGAUGUUAUCAUAGACAUAUGAUAGCGAUCGUUACUCAUUAUAAGGGAAGUAUCUACUAAAUCUUAAGGAAGCAACGUGGUUCAACUUGUACAAGAAUGGACUAAGAAAACUCUCGGCGUGCCAACUAUCCCAAUUAAAAAGUCUCUAGCCGUCCGACCUAGAUACAGAGAGCAUCGAAACAAGAUUCCUUGUCUUGCAUACAGAGAACUAUAAAUGUCGUUCAAGUUAAUGGCUUUAAGAAAUAAAUUAUGAAAACUGAAGAUAUUUUAUUAUUGGUAAUAGUUUUGGUUAUAUAUAAUGUUAGAU